RNAcentral lists this ribosomal RNA (450 nucleotides) under uncultured bacterium. Its description in RNAcentral is "partial 16S ribosomal RNA". It matches the Rfam family "Bacterial small subunit ribosomal RNA", at positions 354 to 796 of the family's 1533-position model. The record is from RNAcentral.
GUGGGGAAUAUUGGACAAUGGGCGAAAGCCUGAUCCAGCCAUGCCGCGUGUGUGAAGAAGGUCUUCGGAUUGUAAAGCACUUUAAGUUGGGAGGAAGGGCAGUAAGUUAAUACCUUGCUGUUUUGACGUUACCGACAGAAUAAGCACCGGCUAACUUCGUGCCAGCAGCCGCGGUAAUACGAAGGGUGCAAGCGUUAAUCGGAAUUACUGGGCGUAAAGCGCGCGUAGGUGGUUUUGUAAGUUGGAGGUGAAAUCCCCGGGCUCAACCUGGGAACUGCCUCCAAAACUGCAUGACUAGAGUACGGUAGAGGGUAGUGGAAUUUCCUGUGUAGCGGUGAAAUGCGUAGAUAUAGGAAGGAACACCAGUGGCGAAGGCGACUACCUGGACUGAUACUGACACUGAGGUGCGAAAGCAUGGGGAGCAAACAGGAUUAGAAACCCCUGUAGUCC